This 649-nucleotide long non-coding RNA is filed under the name Mytilus galloprovincialis (Mediterranean mussel). Lineage: Eukaryota; Metazoa; Mollusca; Bivalvia; Mytilida; Mytilidae. The record is from RNAcentral.
AUCAGUGAAGAAAAUCUGGUGAAAGCUAAGUCAAUGACAGACACAGGAGUAAAGCGUACUCAACCUAUGUGUGAUGUUACCAACAAAAAAGCCAGAGAUUCUUGACAAUGCUGUUGGAUGUUGACUUCAAUUUUAUAAUUGCCAUCUACUGUGAUGUGAUCACUGGUGAUCAGACCUGUGUUGGUCAUAAGAUACUGAAAAAAGUCUUACAUCUAUAUUGCUACAUAUGUAUGCCAUUGAAAUAAGGCAUAUACAAUUAUCUUUUGCAAUUUGAAGAAUGGACUUUAAUAAUUCAUAAAUAUCAAGUCUAACUUUUGUGGCUGUCCCUUAUACAUUCAUGAAAUAAAUUAUUUAAAAAAUGAUUCCAAGAAAAGCUAUCAAUAGAAUUUUGUUCAAGACUAUACAUGUUUUAGUGCUGUAAUUAUUUUUUGAUUAUUUUUGUUGUUGGGUUACUUUCUCUUAAGCAUUAUCCAUGUUAUCAUAUACCCUAUAUCUCAUGUUCAUCUUUGAAAACUGUAUACUUUUGUUGUAUUGAACUAUUUUUAAUCCUGUAUAAGGAGAGAAUGUUAUGUACAAAGGGAGACGACUCUAUUUUUGUAUAAUACUAAAUUCAAAUGAAUAUUGUGCCAAAUUAAACAAUGAAAACGAA